Molecule: small nuclear RNA, 109 nt
Filed under: Dasypus novemcinctus (nine-banded armadillo)
Lineage: Eukaryota; Metazoa; Chordata; Mammalia; Cingulata; Dasypodidae
Source: RNAcentral
GUGAACAUGCUUUGUUGACACAUAUACUAAAACCAGAACAAUACAGAAAAGAUUAGUAUGACCCAUGCACAAGAAUGACACACAAAUUCUUGAAGUGUUCACAAUUUGA